This 228-nucleotide ribosomal RNA is filed under the name uncultured bacterium. RNAcentral's name for it is "partial 16S ribosomal RNA". It matches the Rfam family "Bacterial small subunit ribosomal RNA", at positions 104 to 334 of the family's 1533-position model. The record is from RNAcentral.
CGGGGUGAGUAAUGUCUGGGAAACUGCCUGAUGGAGGGGGAUAACUACUGGAAACGGUAGCUAAUACCGCAUAACGUCGCAAGACCAAAGAGGGGGACCUCGGGCCUCUUGCCAUCGGAUGUGCCCAGAUGGGAUUAGCUAGUAGGUGGGGUAACGGCUCACCUAGGCGACGAUCCCUAGCUGGUCUGAGAGGAUGAUCAGCCACACUGGGACUGAGACACGGCCCAG